AUGUCAACCUCGUGUGGGACUAAUCGUUUUCAUUUACCAUCUCAUGGAAAACCCUUUUCGUUCCGCUUAGCCCUAUCGGGUAUUUUAGUGAUAGGUUCUGUAGGAACUGGACGAUCCUAUUUGGUCAAAUACCUAACGAAAAAUUACGAUUUUCCUUUCAUUAAGGUACGAGGGCUUCUUAUUCCACAAGAACGAAAGCACCUUUUCAUUCUUUCAUAUACUAGGGGUUUUUACUUGGAAAAGACAAUGUUCCAUACUAAAGGAUUGAUGUUCGGAGAUUGUCGAAUGUGA
This 291-nucleotide ribosomal RNA is filed under the name Triticum aestivum (bread wheat). Its description in RNAcentral is "partial small subunit ribosomal RNA". The record is from RNAcentral. Lineage: Eukaryota; Viridiplantae; Streptophyta; Magnoliopsida; Poales; Poaceae.